Long non-coding RNA from Amblyraja radiata (thorny skate), 111 nucleotides. RefSeq lists it as uncharacterized. The transcript has 3 exons. The record is from RefSeq and is a predicted model, not a curated record. Lineage: Eukaryota; Metazoa; Chordata; Chondrichthyes; Rajiformes; Rajidae.
CUCACAACGGGCGGAUCAGUAACUGGUUGCUCUCCUCCGCCGGGAUCAGAUUCUCCGCUUUCCGUUUGGUCGACAUCUCCGGCUCCGUGCUGCUUCUGGACAUCGGAAGAG